AGUGAACGCUGGCGGUAGGCCUAACACAUGCAAGUCGAACGGCAGCACCGUAAGAACUUGCUCUCACGGGUGGAGCGCGGCGGAAGGGUGCGGAAUACACCGGAAUCUACUUUUUAGUGGGGGAUAACGUAGGGAAACUUACGCUAAUAACGCAUACGACCCACGGGUGAAAGCAGGGGAUCUUCGGACCUUGUGGGAUUGAUUGAGGCGAUGUAGGAUUAGCUAGAUGGCGGGGUAAAGGCCCACCAAGUCGACGAUCCGUACCUGGUCUGAGCGGAUGAUCAGCUAGACUGUAUGUGAGACUCGUUCCACACACCGACACUAGGCAGCAGUGGAGAAUAUUGGACAAUGCGGGCGUGCCUAAUCCAGCCAUACCGCGUGGGUGAAGAAGGCGUUCGGGUGCGAGAGUCCUUUUGUUGGGAGGAAAGAGCAACAGUUUAAUACCCCGCGAUUCUGACGGUACCCAAAGAAUAAGCACCGGCUAACUUCGUG
This 492-nucleotide ribosomal RNA is filed under the name uncultured bacterium. Its description in RNAcentral is "partial 16S ribosomal RNA". It matches the Rfam family "Bacterial small subunit ribosomal RNA", at positions 29 to 507 of the family's 1533-position model. The record is from RNAcentral.